Molecule: non-coding RNA, 450 nt
Organism: Salvelinus namaycush (lake trout)
Lineage: Eukaryota; Metazoa; Chordata; Actinopteri; Salmoniformes; Salmonidae
Source: the annotation of a RefSeq genome assembly
AUGAGAGUUCUAGAAUGUGUGUUCCUCCUGGCUCUCAUCUCAGCUGUUCAGGGACAGUCACUCACCUCUGAGCCAGUGGUGAAGAGCCCUGGAGAGUCAGUAACACUGUAUUGUACUGUGUCUGGAUUACCCCUGAGCUGGUUACACUGGAUCCGUCAGAAACCAGGGAAAGGACUAGAGUGGAUUGGCCACAUUGACACUGGCACUAUAUUUGCCCAGUCUCUACAGGGCCAGUUCACCAUCACCAAAUACAGCUCCAAAAACCAGCUGUACUUAGAGGUGAAAAGGCUGAAGACUGAAGACUCUGUUGUUUAUUAUUGUGCCAAAGACAGUGACAAAGAAGCCUGCAUCGCCAUGCAAAAACGGGCAAUAAUGCGUCACCAUGUGAUCAAGGGCGGUGCUGUUGCCAUACCAAAACGUGAUGCAGACAAUCUAGAUGCUCUCAUAUAG